This 344-nucleotide long non-coding RNA is filed under the name Setaria viridis. Its description in RNAcentral is "long non-coding RNA (SVIR_LNC010394)". The record is from RNAcentral. Lineage: Eukaryota; Viridiplantae; Streptophyta; Magnoliopsida; Poales; Poaceae.
AACCGUGCAGCGCCGCAUCAUGCAGGCACUGAGCAAGAGGCACGAGAUGCGAACGUGAAUAGUCUUUCGUCUAUUUGCCACCCAAAUCGAGGAGACAAGGUGGCCCUGUUGGUCUGCGUACGUCACAAUCACAACGGUAACAUCCUAAAAAUUUAAAACAGAAUGAGGAUUUUUAAAAAAAAUUCAAACAAACUAUAAAAGCCCGUUUUCUACUUUAAUACUCAAAAUCAUUUUAAACAUUUAUGUACAAACACAUAAUUACUCGCUCCGUCGCUCCGAUAGUAUCUCGCUCCCCCACUCCCACCCUGCACCCUGCUCCUGCUCCCCCACUCCCACUACCGGCG